AUACGGAGGGUGCAAGCGUUAAUCGGAAUUACUGGGCGUAAAGCGCGCGUAGGUGGUUAGUUAAGUUGGAUGUGAAAGCCCUGGGCUCAACCUGGGAAUGGCAUUCAAAACUGGCUGACUAGAGUAUGGUAGAGGGAAGGGGAAUUCCAGGUGUAGCGGUGAAAUGCGUAGAUAUCUGGAGGAACAUCAGUGGCGAAGGCGCCUUCCUGGACUAAUACUGACACUGAGGUGCGAAAGCGUGGGUAGCAAACAGGAUUAGAAACCCUAGUAGUCC
RNAcentral lists this ribosomal RNA (274 nucleotides) under uncultured bacterium. Its description in RNAcentral is "partial 16S ribosomal RNA". It matches the Rfam family "Bacterial small subunit ribosomal RNA", at positions 523 to 796 of the family's 1533-position model. The record is from RNAcentral.